UAUAUACAUUGCAAUUUUUUUUUUUUUUUUUUUAAAAAGAAGAAGGAAAAAAAA
This 54-nucleotide non-coding RNA is filed under the name uncultured Mamiellales. Lineage: Eukaryota; Viridiplantae; Chlorophyta; Mamiellophyceae; Mamiellales. The record is from RNAcentral.